Molecule: ribosomal RNA, 253 nt
Filed under: uncultured bacterium
Lineage: Bacteria
Description: partial 16S ribosomal RNA
Rfam family: Bacterial small subunit ribosomal RNA
Source: RNAcentral
UACGAAGGGGGCUAGCGUUGUUCGGAAUUACUGGGCGUAAAGCGCACGUAGUCGGGUUAUUAAGUCAGGGGUGAAAUCCCGGAGCUCAACUCCGGAACUGCCUUUGAUACUGGUAAUCUAGAGAUCGGAAGAGGUUAGUGGAAUUCCCAGUGUAGAGGUGAAAUUCGUAGAUAUUGGGAAGAACACCAGUGGCGAAGGCGGCUAACUGGUCCGAUACUGACGCUGAGGUGCGAAAGCGUGGGGAGCAAACAGG